UUCAAGGCUUCUUUAGAAGCCAUUAAAAUAAAAGAUAUACAAUUG
This is a non-coding RNA of Rozella allomycis CSF55, 45 nucleotides long. The record is from Rfam. Lineage: Eukaryota; Fungi; Rozellomycota.